RNAcentral lists this ribosomal RNA (763 nucleotides) under uncultured Streptococcus sp. RNAcentral's name for it is "bacterial SSU rRNA". It matches the Rfam family "Bacterial small subunit ribosomal RNA", at positions 28 to 776 of the family's 1533-position model. The record is from RNAcentral. Lineage: Bacteria; Bacillati; Bacillota; Bacilli; Lactobacillales; Streptococcaceae.
GACGAACGCUGGCGGCGUGCCUAAUACAUGCAAGUAGAACGCUGAAGGAGGAGCUUGCUUCUCCGGACGAGUUGCGAACGGGUGAGUAACGCGUAGGUAACCUGCCUGGUAGCGGGGGAUAACUAUUGGAAACGAUAGCUAAUACCGCAUAAUAGUAGAUGUUGCAUGACAUUUACUUAAAAGGUGCAAUUGCAUCACUACCAGAUGGACCUGCGUUGUAUUAGCUAGUUGGUGGGGUAACGGCUCACCAAGGCGACGAUACAUAGCCGACCUGAGAGGGUGAUCGGCCACACUGGGACUGAGACACGGCCCAGACUCCUACGGGAGGCAGCAGUAGGGAAUCUUCGGCAAUGGACGGAAGUCUGACCGAGCAACGCCGCGUGAGUGAAGAAGGUUUUCGGAUCGUAAAGCUCUGUUGUAAGAGAAGAACGAGUGUGGGAGUGGAAAGUUCACACUGUGACGGUAUCUUACCAGAAAGGGACGGCUAACUACGUGCCAGCAGCCGCGGUAAUACGUAGGUCCCGAGCGUUGUCCGGAUUUAUUGGGCGUAAAGCGAGCGCAGGCGGUUAGAUAAGUCUGAAGUUAAAGGCUGUGGCUUAACCAUAGUACGCUUUGGAAACUGUUUAACUUGAGUGCAAGAGGGGAGAGUGGAAUUCCAUGUGUAGCGGUGAAAUGCGUAGAUAUAUGGAGGAACACCGGUGGCGAAAGCGGCUCUCUGGCUUGUAACUGACGCUGAGGCUCGAAAGCGUGGGGAGCAAACAGG